RNAcentral lists this long non-coding RNA (748 nucleotides) under Elaeis guineensis (African oil palm). RNAcentral's name for it is "long non-coding RNA (EGUI_LNC030780)". The record is from RNAcentral. Lineage: Eukaryota; Viridiplantae; Streptophyta; Magnoliopsida; Arecales; Arecaceae.
AAAUGAGAGAUCUUCUCCUUACCUGCUCAUGGUCUCCAUUUUUAGGAACACUUUCUGUUUUGUGAAAUGCUCAUAAGUCUUAUCAGAAACUAGAUCCUCUUAAUUUUGCUCAUUAGUCAUUAUCCUUUUGCAUUUCGCGAGGAAAUAUAUCGCAUGACUUCUAGCUACGUUCAUCGUUCUUUGACAUCGUGAACUAUGCUUAUUGUGCUUUUUAACAUUGGUUGCAUCCUUUACGGCCAUCACAGUGGAAAUUCUUACUUGCUGAACUCAAGCUUUUAUUGAUGUUAGUUGUGUACUCUUGCAACUAAGGGGAUAUUUGAUUCGUGACCAGAAUCAAAAUUAGAAUAGACUGAAAUAGGAAUCAAAAUGAUCAAAUUUCUGAAAGGGUUUGAUUCAUGAUCGGAAUCGGAAGAGGAAUGAAAAUUGGAUCCAUGGAGGGGAGUAGAGAUUAAAUUUUAAAUAGAUUAGGUCUUUUCUAUUCCACUCAUGAAUUGAAAUUGGAAUGGGACUCCUCCCAACCAAACGACUUAAAUGGAAGACUAAUUCCGAUUCUUAAUCCAGACUUCCAUUCUCCCUAACCAAGCACCUCCUAAUAGACAGUUGAUAAUGUGUUCCUUGUUUAAUCAAUGCCAACUUAAUAUAGAUUUUAUGCCCAAAGCUGAAAAUAUUCUACUACUAAUAUUAAAUUAAAGGCCCAACAGAAGCCAACAAUGCUAGUGGCUCUGCCACAGAUAUCAUAAUUGCGGGG